GGUGAACGCUGGCGGUAGGCCUAACACAUGCAAGUCGAACGGCAGCACAGUAAGAGCUUGCUCUUACGGGUGGCGAGUGGCGGACGGGUGAGGAAUACAUCGGAAUCUACUUUUUCGUGGGGGAUAACGUAGGGAAACUUACGCUAAUACCGCGUACGACCUACGGGUGAAAGCAGGGGAUCUUCGGACCUUGCGCGAUUGAAUGAGCCGAUGUCGGAUUAGCUAGUUGGCGGGGUAAAGGCCCACCAAGGCGACGAUCCGUAGCUGGUCUGAGAGGAUGAUCAGCCACACUGGAACUGAGACACGGUCCAGACUCCUACGGGAGGCAGCAGUGGGGAAUAUUGGACAAUGGGCGCAAGCCUGAUCCAGCCAUACCGCGUGGGUGAAGAAGGCCUUCGGGUUGUAAAGCCCUUUUGUUGGGAAAGAAAAGCAGCAGGUUAAUACCCCGCUGUUCUGACGGUACCCAAAGAAUAAGCACCGGCUAACUUCGUG
RNAcentral lists this ribosomal RNA (492 nucleotides) under uncultured bacterium. RNAcentral describes it as "partial 16S ribosomal RNA". It matches the Rfam family "Bacterial small subunit ribosomal RNA", at positions 28 to 507 of the family's 1533-position model. The record is from RNAcentral.